RNAcentral lists this ribosomal RNA (253 nucleotides) under uncultured bacterium. RNAcentral describes it as "partial 16S ribosomal RNA". It matches the Rfam family "Bacterial small subunit ribosomal RNA", at positions 524 to 776 of the family's 1533-position model. The record is from RNAcentral.
GACAGAGGGUGCAAACGUUGUUCGGAAUUACUGGGCGUAAAGCGUGCGCAGGCGGUUUCGUAAGUCUGUCGUGAAAUCCCCGGGCUUAACCUGGGAAUUGCAUCCGAGACUGUCUGACUUGAGUAUGCUAGAGGGAAGUGGAAUUCCAGGUGUAGCGGUGAAAUGCGUAGAUAUCUGGAGGAACACCGGUGGCGAAGGCGGCGUCCUGGACCAACACUGACACUGAUGAGCGAAAGCCAGGGGAGCAAACGGG